This 251-nucleotide ribosomal RNA is filed under the name uncultured prokaryote. RNAcentral's name for it is "partial 16S rRNA". It matches the Rfam family "Bacterial small subunit ribosomal RNA", at positions 525 to 775 of the family's 1533-position model. The record is from RNAcentral.
ACGGAGGGAGCUAGCGUUGUUCGGAAUUACUGGGCGUAAAGCGCACGUAGGCGGCUACUCAAGUCAGAGGUGAAAUCCCGGGGCUCAACCCCGGAACUGCCGUUGAAACUAGGUGGCUUGAAUACUGGAGAGGUAAGUGGAAUUCCGGGUGUAGCGGUGAAAUGCGCAGAUAUCAGGAAGAACACCAGUGGCGAAGGCGACUGACUGGGCAAGUACUGACGCUGAGGUGCGAAAGCGUGGGGAGCAAACAG